ACGCAUUAAGUGCCCCGCCUGGGGAGUACGGCCGCAAGGCUAAAACUCAAAGGAAUUGACGGGGGCCCGCACAAGCGGCGGAGCAUGCGGAUUAAUUCGAUGCAACGCGAAGAACCUUACCAAGGCUUGACAUGUUCUCGAUCGCCGUAGAGAUACGGUUUCCCCUUUGGGGCGGGUUCACAGGUGGUGCAUGGUUGUCGUCAGCUCGUGUCGUGAGAUGUUGGGUUAAGUCCCGCAACGAGCGCAACCCUCGUUCCAUGUUGCCAGCACGUCGUGGUGGGGACUCAUGGGAGACUGCCGGGGUCAACUCGGAGGAAGGUGAGGACGACGUCAAAUCAUCAUGCCCCUUAUGUCUUGGGCUUCACGCAUGCUACAAUGGCCGGUACAAUGGGUUGCGAUACUGUGAGGUGGAGCUAAUCCCAAAAAGCCGGUCUCAGUUCGGAUUGGGGUCUGCAACUCGACCCCAUGAAGUCGGAGUCGCUAGUAAUCGCAGAUCAGCAACGCUGCGGUGAAUACGUUCCCGGGCCUUGUACACACCGCCCGUCAAGUC
Molecule: ribosomal RNA, 550 nt
Filed under: bacterium
Lineage: Bacteria
Description: bacterial SSU rRNA
Rfam family: Bacterial small subunit ribosomal RNA
Source: RNAcentral